AUAUAACAGAACAAACUCGCAAUGAAGAAGGCCUAGAAAUACACAACAGGCAGAAGUAGAAAAUGUUAUGGUUUAGGUACAAGAGCAUCAUAGCAAUACAGAAUGGGAAUCUAAAUACAUAUAUAAACAAUUCAAAACUAGACUGUAAGCUUUGAGCAGGGUCCUCUUCAUCCUAUUGUUCCUGUAAGUUUUUGUAAUUGUCUCAUUUAUUGUUAAAUCUCACCCUCUUAUAAUAUUGUAAUGUGCUGCGGAAUUUGUUGGCGCUAUAUAAAUGCCAAUAAUAACUAAAUCAGGUGAAUGACUAAAAAAAAAUGUGGAGGAAAAAAAGUGAAAAGCCACUGCAAGACCAAAGACCACCAUCCGAUAACUGCUCCUCCCACAGAGAGAAUAUGGUUUCUUAAUCAAAAAGUAUUUUGACACGUUUAUUCACUGAAGUGAGUUGUUGGCAAUGCAAAGUAAUUUUUUUAUUUCAGGCCAAUAUAGGCUAGUGGAUUUGAAGAUUUUUUUUUUUUUGUCUCUUUCAGAUCGAAGUCAUCACAAUUUACACAUUAGUGAUCAAUUCGAUUUAGAGAUUUAAAAAAAACCCAAUAUUUUACAAUUAGAAAUGUUCAG
Non-coding RNA from Pelobates cultripes (western spadefoot toad), 612 nucleotides. NCBI's taxonomy places the organism in Eukaryota, Metazoa, Chordata, Amphibia, Anura, Pelobatidae. The record is from the annotation of a GenBank genome assembly.